RNAcentral lists this non-coding RNA (301 nucleotides) under Caballeronia udeis. Lineage: Bacteria; Pseudomonadati; Pseudomonadota; Betaproteobacteria; Burkholderiales; Burkholderiaceae. The record is from RNAcentral.
UAUCUUUGGCCCGCGUCUGGUGCUCACGCGCGCUUUUCCCGCGCGCGUAGUUAAACGGGAAACAGGGUGCAUACGCGCGUAUUUUCCAGGCUCGAAGCUGUAGGCCGCACGCGCCGUACCGACAAAAACCUGUGCUGUCCCCGCAACGGUACGCGACCCGCGCCUCGUUCGACUGACUCUCAUUCCUGAUUUUCAUUCGAACCGGGCGCUCAUUUCCUCCAAAGCCACUGCGCAAGCGCGCGGGAAGGCGAGCGGAAUGCGGUCGCCAAGCCCGGAUACCGGCCAGUCGCCAAGUGGCGCG